AUUGAACGCUGGCGGCAGGCCUAACACAUGCAAGUCGAGCGGUAGCACAGAGAGCUUGCUCUCGGGUGACGAGCGGCGGACGGGUGAGUAAUGUCUGGGAAACUGCCUGAUGGAGGGGGAUAACUACUGGAAACGGUAGCUAAUACCGCAUAACGUCGCAAGACCAAAGUGGGGGACCUUCGGGCCUCAUGCCAUCAGAUGUGCCCAGAUGGGAUUAGCUGGUAGGUGGGGUAACGGCUCACCUAGGCGACGAUCCCUAGCUGGUCUGAGAGGAUGACCAGCCACGCUGGAACUGAGACACGGUCCAGACUCCUACGGGAGGCAGCAGUGGGGAAUAUUGCACAAUGGGCGCAAGCCUGAUUCAGCCAUGCCGCGUGUGUGAAGAAGGCCUUCGGGUUGUAAAGCACUUUCAGCGGGGAGGAAGGCAUUAAGGUUAAUAACCUUAGUGAUUGACGUUACCCGCAGAAGAAGCACCGGCUAACUCCGUGCCAGCAGCCGCGGUAA
Molecule: ribosomal RNA, 504 nt
Filed under: uncultured bacterium
Lineage: Bacteria
Description: partial 16S ribosomal RNA
Rfam family: Bacterial small subunit ribosomal RNA
Source: RNAcentral